GUCUAGUUUAUUGUAAGAUAAUAUAUAAUAAAUAAUAUAUAAUUCUAGAGGGCGCUGCAAUACUCUGGAGCCAUUUAAGACAUCAGGAUUUUUAACCUUUUCAAAAAUCGUCAUACGAGCUUGGGAGGUGAUUAACAAGAGAAAAUUUAUCGAGAAUGUCUUGCCAAAUUAGCGAAUUUCAAGGAAACCAAAGCAGCCUAAUACUGAGCACUUUAACUCGCUAAUUUAAUAGAUUUGAACAUUACCUGCCAUGGAAUGUCGAAGCUCAAUUUUAUAUUUAUGUGUGCUUAAAUAGAAUUAUGCACUAAUAUUUAUAAAAUCUACGAUUAUUACAAAACAGCUUAAAGCUGAUUAAAAAGUCUGGCUUUGAAAAGUGCAAAAACAACAAAGGCAGGUGUGUUCAAUUUUCUAGGAUUACCCAUUCUUUGCAAGAGAUACAACUUUUCAUAAUUUGUCUUCUAUUUUUAAGGCAUAUUUAAUUAAAUCUAAGGUAUCAAGUUUUAAAUCUAUAGGGAAUAAUUACUAGGAGGAACAGCGGCAAUCUAGAAGCUUUUAGAAUGAUUAAUUUUCCUCAAAAUAAAAGAUAUUAUAAAUCCAAACCACAAAGUUAGCAAGGCAACGUAAGAAUUACAUAAUGCACAAAGAUGGUUUUUUUGAAACCUUCUGUUUCGUAGUGUCAUUUGCCUUUCUUUCAUUGUCCUGUAAAUUCUUCUAGAGGCUUGUAAAAUGAAGCUGUUAGUAUUAAGUAACUCGAUUAUUGAAAAAGGGGACGCUAGUUAUAAACCCUGUAACUAAUUGGUCAGCGAAGUAAAUGCUUAGUUGCACCAAUUCAGCAGUUUUAGUUUAUAAGUACCAAUUGUAAUCUUAGCGUAAGUUCAGUUAUAAGUUAUCAGUUGUCACAAGUAUACUAUUACUGUAACUCGUCGUUCUGAAAAUAAAUCUUUUUAAAAGGC
Molecule: long non-coding RNA, 953 nt
Organism: Dendroctonus ponderosae (mountain pine beetle)
Lineage: Eukaryota; Metazoa; Arthropoda; Insecta; Coleoptera; Curculionidae
Exons: 2
Source: RefSeq, a predicted model, not a curated record